RNAcentral lists this long non-coding RNA (287 nucleotides) under Carica papaya (papaya). RNAcentral's name for it is "long non-coding RNA (CPAP_LNC008684)". Lineage: Eukaryota; Viridiplantae; Streptophyta; Magnoliopsida; Brassicales; Caricaceae. The record is from RNAcentral.
AAUUUGUAGAAUUACUCGUGGAACUUGAAUAAAGUAGAUUAGGUCUGAAGCUUAAGUACAAUUGGAAGAAGUCACAACUUAGAGCUUUAUAAGAUGAUAAAUGUUGGAAUAAAAUUGAGGGCCCCUUAUCAAUGGAAAAAAUUAUUUGUGGACAGCUCCUAUGGAUCUGUAAGGAGGAAAAUAUUUGGGAGGGCACUGCUUUGAGUCGGAGAAACAUAAUGUAGGGUUUUCUUUACUGUUAUAUGGUUAUAACCUAUAAAACUAAAGGGAGACACUAUUAUGGCUAU